RNAcentral lists this non-coding RNA (53 nucleotides) under unclassified sequences. Its description in RNAcentral is "Li+-I sequence". It matches the Rfam family "nhaA-I RNA". From Rfam's summary of the family: Acidobacteria, Alphaproteobacteria, Betaproteobacteria and Gammaproteobacteria, Verrucomicrobia, cand. division NC10. The record is from Rfam by way of RNAcentral.
GGGUCUGGGUUGUAAUAUCCAGAGGUAAUCUUUAGAUGGUCGGGCCGCCAUCU